This is a long non-coding RNA of Ipomoea triloba (trilobed morning glory), 1299 nucleotides long. RefSeq lists it as uncharacterized. The record is from RefSeq and is a predicted model, not a curated record. NCBI's taxonomy places the organism in Eukaryota, Viridiplantae, Streptophyta, Magnoliopsida, Solanales, Convolvulaceae. The transcript has 5 exons.
UAUGUAUGUAUGUGUGUUAUCUGUUCUCUUUUAGUCAUUCUUCAUCCGUAGCUUAUUCAUUCUUCUUCUCUGGAUCUUCGACCAACUUACUGCUUUAGCUACUCCUUCAUCUACCUUUGGACGUACGUACUACACAGUGGUGUCGGUGUAGAUCCGGGGUGGCGAGGCAACAACAGCUCCGGCAAGGCAGCACGAGCUCCGGGGUAGCUUAAGGGGUGUAGAUCCGGGGUGGCGAGGCAACUACGACGAGCGAGCUUCGAGUGGCGGUGGUGUAGAUCUACGUCUUCCAGCGGCGACGAGCGAGCUUCGAGCGGCAGCGGUGUAGAUCUACGUCUUCCAGCGGCGAUGAGCGAGCUUUGAGCGACGGCGGUGUAGAUCCACGUCUUGCAGCGGCGAUGAGCGAGCUUCGACCGGCGGCGGUGUAGAUCUACGUAUUCCAGCGGUAAUAUAAUGAAGACAGGUUGGAGCUUCGACCUCCUUCUUCCUGCUUAGAUCUAUGGUUCCAGCGGUGGAGUGAUAGUAGCUCCGGUGGAAUACUUGGCCAUUUUCUUCGGCGACGUAGGUAGCACUGAAUUCAUCUGGACUUCGGAUAAUCCGAGAGACUGAGACUAACUGCUAGAUGAUAAAAGCAGAUAUGGUAACGAAUCUCAAGAGUUUUUUAAUUCCUAAAAGUACUUGAAGUUGUGAUAGGCAAGAAGUAUAUCUCAGAUAAAGUUAAGAAGGACAACACACACAUCAUAUGUUUUGUCUUUGCUGAGAUAUUGUAAGUUCUCAAGAAGGUUGUCCAUGCUUUGCAAUUUCCGGUAUGGCCAUCGUUUAAUUCUCAAUUUUGUACACAUUCUCUUCAACUUAUCUUCACUUACAUUGAGCUCCCUUGCUGCUUGGGCUGCGGGUACAACUGGAGGCGCCUCAAGUGAAACAUCGUUCUGGCCACAUAGCAUGUCAUUCACAAGACCCCAGUCGAAAUCUAAUUGUUCGGCGGAGCAACAACUUUGUUGAAUUUGGUGUAAAGUUUUACCUGUUGUAGAUGAAGUUGGAUUAUUGAAGUGAUAAUCCAAGGGGUGGUUUUCAGCAUGAUUAAAAAAAUGACGGUAAUCUUGUUCAGGAGAAGAAAUAGGAAUUUCUUUAUCAUCCUCAUCCUCUAACUUCAAGAGUUUUAUUCGAGGCCAUCGGGAAAUUCCUAAUAUCCUGCACCUAUUCUUUAAUGUUGUGACACCAACCUUUAAUUGUACCGCUGCUUCACUAAUCGGAAGAUGGAAAUAACUUGAGAUCAUUUCCUUAGUGAUCGUUCUUGAAUCA